Molecule: ribosomal RNA, 253 nt
Filed under: uncultured bacterium
Lineage: Bacteria
Description: partial 16S ribosomal RNA
Rfam family: Bacterial small subunit ribosomal RNA
Source: RNAcentral
UACGUAGGGUGCAAGCGUUGUCCGGAUUUAUUGGGUUUAAAGGGUGCGUAGGUGGCUUUUUAAGUCAUGGGUGAAAGCCCGCAGCUCAACUGUGGAAUUGCCUGUGAUACUGAGGAGCUUGAGUGCGGUUGAGGCAGCUGGAAUUGGUGGUGUAGCGGUGAAAUGCAUAGAUACCACCAGGAACACCGAUUGCGAAGGCAGGUUGCUAAGCCGUAACUGACACUGAGGCACGAAAGCGUGGGGAGCGAAAGGG